This 17-nucleotide transfer RNA is filed under the name Bembidion laxatum. RNAcentral's name for it is "partial tRNA-Leu". Lineage: Eukaryota; Metazoa; Arthropoda; Insecta; Coleoptera; Carabidae. RNAcentral also lists the same sequence under 2 other names. The record is from RNAcentral.
UGCCUUUUGUUAGAAAA